GACGAACGCUGGCGGCGUGCUUAACACAUGCAAGUCGAACGGAAAGGCCCUGCUUUUGUGGGGUGCUCGAGUGGCGAACGGGUGAGUAACACGUGAGUAACCUGCCCUUGACUUUGGGAUAACUUCAGGAAACUGGGGCUAAUACCGGAUAGGAGCUCCUGCUGCAUGGUGGGGGUUGGAAAGUUUCGGCGGUUGGGGAUGGACUCGGGGCUUAUCAGCUGGUUGGUGGGGUAGUGGCUUACCAAGGCUUAGACGGGCAGCCGGCCUGAGAGGGUGACCGGCCACAUGGGGACUGAGAGACGGCCCAGACUCCUACGGGAGGCAGCAGUGGGGAAUAUUGCACAAUGGGCGGAAGCCUGAUGCAGCAACGCCGCGUGCGGGAUGACGUCCUUCGGGUUGUAAACCGCUUUCGCCUGUGACGAAGCGUGAGUGACGGUAAUGGGUAAAGAAGCACCGGCUAACUACGUG
This 468-nucleotide ribosomal RNA is filed under the name uncultured bacterium. RNAcentral's name for it is "partial 16S ribosomal RNA". It matches the Rfam family "Bacterial small subunit ribosomal RNA", at positions 28 to 507 of the family's 1533-position model. The record is from RNAcentral.